RNAcentral lists this ribosomal RNA (233 nucleotides) under uncultured bacterium. RNAcentral's name for it is "partial 16S ribosomal RNA". It matches the Rfam family "Bacterial small subunit ribosomal RNA", at positions 118 to 350 of the family's 1533-position model. The record is from RNAcentral.
UGGGCAACCUGCCCCUCUCUCUGGGAUAACCCCGGGAAACCGGAGCUAAUACCGGAUACUCCGGCUGGAUCGCAUGGUCCGGCCGGGAAAGCUCCGACGGUCUGGGAUGGGCCCGCGGCCUAUCAGCUAGUUGGUGUGGGUAAUGGCCCACCAAGGCGACGACGGGUAGCCGGCCUGAGAGGGUGACCGGCCACACUGGGACUGAGACACGGCCCAGACUCCUACGGGAGGCA